RNAcentral lists this ribosomal RNA (495 nucleotides) under uncultured bacterium. Its description in RNAcentral is "partial 16S ribosomal RNA". It matches the Rfam family "Bacterial small subunit ribosomal RNA", at positions 28 to 507 of the family's 1533-position model. The record is from RNAcentral.
GACGAACGCUGGCGGCGUGCCUAAUACAUGCAAGUAGAACGCUGAAGGAGGAGCUUGCUUCUCUGGAUGAGUUGCGAACGGGUGAGUAACGCGUAGGUAACCUGCCUGUUAGCGGGGGAUAACUAUUGGAAACGAUAGCUAAUACCGCAUAAUAGUAGAUGUUGCAUGACAUUCGCUUAAAAGGUGCAAUUGUAUCACUACCAGAUGGACCUGCGUUGUAUUAGCUAGUUGGUGAGGUAACGGCUCACCAAGGCGACGAUACUUAGCCGACCUGGGAGGGGGAUCGGCCACACUGGGACUGGGACACGGCCCAGACUCCUACGGGAGGCAGCAGGAGGGAAUCUUCGGGAAUGGACGGAAGGCUGACCGAGCAACGCCGGGGGAGGGAAGAAGGUUUUCGGAUCGUAAAGCUCUGUUGUAAGAGAAGAACGAGUGUGAGAGUGGAAAGUUCACACUGUGACGGUAUCUUACCAGAAAGGGACGGCUAACUACGUG